Molecule: long non-coding RNA, 398 nt
Filed under: Ornithorhynchus anatinus (platypus)
Lineage: Eukaryota; Metazoa; Chordata; Mammalia; Monotremata; Ornithorhynchidae
Description: lncRNA (ENSOANG00000041841.1)
Source: RNAcentral
AGUCAUAGAUCCUGGUUGCUCUCUCAUCUCACCAACUGAGCAUCUCUAUAGAUUUAUCUGUCAAGAGCCUGUUCAAGUGACCAAGAAUUGAAAAUAGUUGUGCUCAUUACCAAUAAUUGUUUUAUUUACAGGACAGAAAAAUGAAGAAAACUGAAAAGGGAAGGGAAGUAAAGCCAGGCUCUUCCUUGCGGCUGGCCUGAUGUCGUAGGAAAGAAUUCAUGUCCCAGAAUCCACUGUGGUACCACCAGCUCCGAGGCCUUAUUGGAGGAUUUUGAAAGCAAUGUGCUUCUCAGCACUGCGUGUGCUUGACUUUGGCAGUGGAGCCAUGCACGACCAAAAUCUUCCAUUCUGAACAAGGUCCAAAUGAAGAUAUCAGUGGGACACGCCGAGGAGUCCGA